This 20-nucleotide unclassified non-coding RNA is filed under the name Mus musculus (house mouse). RNAcentral's name for it is "oocyte_clustered_small_RNA8828". The record is from RNAcentral. Lineage: Eukaryota; Metazoa; Chordata; Mammalia; Rodentia; Muridae.
CUCCAUGGCCUGCAUCAGCU